Molecule: ribosomal RNA, 714 nt
Filed under: human gut metagenome
Description: bacterial SSU rRNA
Rfam family: Bacterial small subunit ribosomal RNA
Source: RNAcentral
GUCCACGCCGUAAACGAUGAGUGCUAGGUGUUAGGCCCUUUCCGGGGCUUAGUGCCGCAGCUAACGCAUUAAGCACUCCGCCUGGGGAGUACGACCGCAAGGUUGAAACUCAAAGGAAUUGACGGGGGCCCGCACAAGCGGUGGAGCAUGUGGUUUAAUUCGAAGCAACGCGAAGAACCUUACCAGGUCUUGACAUCCCGAUGCUAUUCCUAGAGAUAGGAAGUUUCUUCGGAACAUCGGUGACAGGUGGUGCAUGGUUGUCGUCAGCUCGUGUCGUGAGAUGUUGGGUUAAGUCCCGCAACGAGCGCAACCCUUAUUGUUAGUUGCCAUCAUUUAGUUGGGCACUCUAGCGAGACUGCCGGUGACAAACCGGAGGAAGGUGGGGAUGACGUCAAAUCAUCAUGCCCCUUAUGACCUGGGCUACACACGUGCUACAAUGGUUGGUACAACGAGUUGCGAGUCGGUGACGGCAAGCUAAUCUCUUAAAGCCAAUCACAGUUCGGAUUGUAGGCUGCAACUCGCCUACAUGAAGUCGGAAUCGCUAGUAAUCGCGGAUCAGCACGCCGCGGUGAAUACGUUCCCGGGCCUUGUACACACCGCCCGUCACACCACGAGAGUUUGUAACACCCGAAGUCGGUGAGGUAACCUUUUAGGAGCCAGCCGCCUAAGGUGGGAUAGAUGAUUGGGGUGAAGUCGUAACAAGGUAGCCGUAUC